CACGUAGGGGGCAAGCGUUGUCCGGAUUUAUUGGGCGUAAAGAGCUCGUAGGCGGCCUAGUAAGUCGGGUGUGAAACCUCCAGGCUCAACCUGGAGACGCCACCCGAUACUGCUGUGGCUAGAGUCCGGUAGGGGAGCGUGGAAUUCCUGGUGUAGCGGUGAAAUGCGCAGAUAUCAGGAGGAACACCAGCGGCGAAGGCGGCGCUCUGGGCCGGUACUGACGCUGAGGAGCGAAAGCGUGGGGAGCAAACAGG
This 254-nucleotide ribosomal RNA is filed under the name uncultured bacterium. RNAcentral's name for it is "partial 16S ribosomal RNA". It matches the Rfam family "Bacterial small subunit ribosomal RNA", at positions 524 to 776 of the family's 1533-position model. The record is from RNAcentral.